This 543-nucleotide ribosomal RNA is filed under the name Daltonia sp. (in: true bugs). RNAcentral describes it as "Daltonia sp. partial 16S ribosomal RNA". The stretch from base 397 to 543 matches the Rfam family "Archaeal large subunit ribosomal RNA", at positions 2542 to 2688 of the family's 2987-position model. The record is from RNAcentral. Lineage: Eukaryota; Metazoa; Arthropoda; Insecta; Hemiptera; Cicadellidae.
CGCCUGUUUAACAAAAACAUUUCCUUUAGAUUUUCUUAAAGGUAAUUUCUGCCCUAUGUUUUAUUCUAAAUGGCUGCAGUAUUUUGUCUGUUCAAAGUUAGCAUAAUAAAUAGUUUUUUAAUUGAAGGCUGGUAUGAAUGGAAAAUUUGAGAUACAUUUAUUAUUAAAUAUAUUUUUAUAAUUUAAAUUUUAAGUUAAAAUGCUUAAUUAAAUUCUUGGGACGAUAAGACCCUAUAGAACUUUAUAUAAUAUUUUUAGUAUAUUUUUAUUAUUAUAUUUUGUUAGUAAUAUUUAUGUUUUACUGGGGUGGUAAAUAAAUAAAAACUUUAUUAAUAAAAUUCAUUAUAAUUGUUAAUAUUAAUCUUUAAUAGAAAAUUAAGAUAAAGUUACCUUAGGGAUAACAGCGUAAUUAUAAUGGAAAGUUCAUAUUUAUAUUAUUUUUUGCGACCUCGAUGUUGAAUUAAGGUAAAUUUCAAGAAGCAGUAUUCUUUAGAUUAAGUCUGUUCGACUUUUAAAUCCUUACUUGAUCUGAGUUCAGACCGG